UGGGGAAUCUUGCGCAAUGGACGAAAGUCUGACGCAGCCACGCCGCGUGAGUGAAGAAGGCCUUCGGGUUGUAAAGCUCUGUCGGAAGGGACGAACAUCUUGGGGGUGAAUAGCCCCCAGGACUGACGGUACCUUCAAAGGAAGCACCGGCUAACUCUGUGCCAGCAGCCGCGGUAAUACAGAGGGUGCAAGCGUUGCUCGGAAUCAUUGGGCGUAAAGGGUAGGUAGGUGGUCUCAUUUGUCUGGGGUGAAAGCCCAGGGCUUAACCCUGGAAGUGCCCCGGAAACGGUGAGACUAGAGUCCUGGAGAGGGUCGUGGAAUUCCCGGUGUAGCGGUGAAAUGCGUAGAGAUCGGGAGGAACACCAGAGGCGAAGGCGGCGACCUGGACAGGUACUGACACUCAACUACGAAAGCGUGGGGAGCAAACAGGAUUAGAUACCCCUGUAGUCC
Molecule: ribosomal RNA, 450 nt
Filed under: uncultured bacterium
Lineage: Bacteria
Description: bacterial SSU rRNA
Rfam family: Bacterial small subunit ribosomal RNA
Source: RNAcentral